AUGUUGGCUUCGGCAGCACAUAUACUGAAAAAUGGGAAUGAUACAGAGAAGAUUAGCACAGUCCUGCGCAAGGACGACACGCAAAUUUGUGAAGCGUUCCACGUUUUU
Molecule: small nuclear RNA, 108 nt
Organism: Ochotona princeps (American pika)
Lineage: Eukaryota; Metazoa; Chordata; Mammalia; Lagomorpha; Ochotonidae
Source: Ensembl